GACGUAGGGCGCGAGCGUUGUCCGGAUUUAUUGGGCGUAAAGAGCUCGUAGGCGGCUUGUUGCGUCGACUGUGAAAACCUGCGGCUCAACCGUGUGGUCUGCAGUCGAUACGGGCAGGCUGGAGUUCGGUAGGGGAGACUGGAGUUCCUGGUGUAGCGGUGAAAUGCGCAGAUAUCAGGAGGAACACCGGUGGCGAAGGCGGGUCUCUGGGCCGAUACUGACGCUGAGGAGCGAAAGCGUGGGGAGCGAACAGG
Molecule: ribosomal RNA, 254 nt
Filed under: uncultured bacterium
Lineage: Bacteria
Description: partial 16S ribosomal RNA
Rfam family: Bacterial small subunit ribosomal RNA
Source: RNAcentral